This 773-nucleotide long non-coding RNA is filed under the name Mytilus galloprovincialis (Mediterranean mussel). Lineage: Eukaryota; Metazoa; Mollusca; Bivalvia; Mytilida; Mytilidae. The record is from RNAcentral.
AUGUUUUUGGGGAAAGACAGCUUCAAGCCGUCAAUCCCCUAUGGGGUUGACCAGAGUGACACUCCCUCACAUCAUUCAUUUUGUUUUUAUACAUGUUAUAGUGUGGGAAAACCCCCAACAAAUCUUACUUAGAUUGAAGAGAAGGAGACCCAGAAAUGAAUAGUUUGACUUUAAACACUUUUUUACACAUUUCCCUUCUGUUUCUCACGAAAUUAUCGUAUCUUGAACUCUCCUUUACACUAUUUACGUUUAUUUUACAAUCCGGAAAAAUUAGUAUGACGAGAUAUUCUAAAUAUAUCCAACCUACAUUGUAUUUUAUAGUGACGUCAUUCUUGGAAGAAGCAGGGAUAUCCUUCACCAGUUCACUGGUUAUUUAAAUCAUUCUUAGAGAUCGUGCACUAAUCACAAAUUUGUAUUUGUUAAAUCUAAACAUAAUAUUGUUUACUGUAGAUGAUUUAAACAUCAACAUGCAAUACUUUAAUUUGUAGGUCAACAACUUUCAAAAUAAACAAAGAUCGUGGGGUUACAUGAGACAGGGGAAAGAAACGAUUUUAUUACUUUUUUCGGGUCUCACUAAUUAGAGACAAGAAGCGUCAAAAAGCGACAAGAAGCGUCAAGAAGACUAUUUAGCGACAAGAAAAACAUAUUCUUCUUGUCGCUUCUUGUCGCUAAAAUUCUUUUUGUUGCUAAUUAGUGAGACCACUUUUUUCUGUAAAAAUUCUGAGAAUCUUCCUCCAAUUCAGGAGCACCUCAAUUGAUGAGUAAUUAUCCAC